CUUGGGCAGCAAUUCUGCCCCAGCAAUACCCCCAUACUCUAGGUCUCCCCACACAGGGGAACCCCCAACCCUCUAAACCCACCUUGCCUCAGUGGCUACUGGCAGUCAUCAUCUAGCCUCCGCUCACUAGGGCAGACUGCAGUCUAUAACGGCCACUCAUCAUCAGCAAGGGGUUAGGACCUGCUACCUUUGCCUAUCCCUGGGCUGCCUCUCUGCAGCCCCA
Molecule: long non-coding RNA, 223 nt
Organism: Dermochelys coriacea (leatherback sea turtle)
Lineage: Eukaryota; Metazoa; Chordata; Testudines; Dermochelyidae
Exons: 3
Source: RefSeq, a predicted model, not a curated record